UAGACAAACUUUUGCCCCAGCCACACAGAAGCAAACUAUUGAAAAGGGGAGGGAGUGUGUCCUCAGGGCACUACCUUUUUACCUGAAUGAAGACCCAAGCAUCCUCUUCAAAGAAUAAUUGCUACAGCUACAGCUGUUCAGAGGGAGCUGGAACAAAUUACCCUUGCUAUCUUCACCAUCGAAAAAGCUGAUGUCAGCACUCCUCCAGCCGAUGUGGGUAUAACCAUCGAGGGUGUUCUGCAUGACCUGGAAGACAUGGCCUCUACAUGUGCACUCUUAAUGGGUGGGAUAUAUGCACUGAAUCGCAGUUAACCUCGAGACUGAAAGCUUUCUUUGAAGUACUUCAGAAGCUCUUCCUUCAUCUGUAUGUCAGCAGACUCUUGACCAAGGUACAGAUGCUCAAGAAUAAACUGAAUGAAUAAGCCAACCCUUAAUUUGGAUGAUGAAUGUUCUGUCAGAUGGACAGAAGUUUUUCAGAGGCUGAAUGGGAAUAAAACGGUAAUUUGUUGAAAAUGACAGAUAAAGGGAAAAUUACAUUUAAGAGAAAUUUUGAAAAGUUUGUAAACUACUACAAUUUGAGAGAUUUUACUCUUGUGGGUGGAGGGGGGGCUAGUAAGAGACAAUCAAAAGUAUUGAGAUUUAAAGGAUUUAAUUGAGAGAUGAUAGUGCACCAGAAAUGUUGAAGGGUGGUGUGUAUAUUAGCGUUCAAGGUAUAUUGUUAUGAGGUGGAAAUAUGUUCAUAUUCUGUUUGUGUUACAUUGUGUGCAUUGUAAAGGUAAUGGCAAUACAUACUAAGAAUAAGGGUAAGUUAGAAAUGCAGGAUGAAUGUAUAUUUUGCGGACUUUUAAAGACGAACAAUUGUUUCCAUGUUAAAAUGUUUACAACCCAAGUUUUUUGCCCAAACACUGGUAAAAUAAACGUUGAGGGUGGCAAGUGUUAAAUGGUUACUGCUGUGCUGUUGCAAAAAAAACUGAACGCUGACAAGCUGUUAUAUUGUUAGACCAUAAUGCUGGCAUGCUUUAUUUAAGUUUUAUUUGGGAUGGUGAUAUAAUUUUCUUUGAUUGCUAAUAUCA
Long non-coding RNA from Oreochromis aureus, 1073 nucleotides. RefSeq lists it as uncharacterized. The transcript has 3 exons. Lineage: Eukaryota; Metazoa; Chordata; Actinopteri; Cichliformes; Cichlidae. The record is from RefSeq and is a predicted model, not a curated record.